GCCCAGGUGGCGGAAUUGGUAGACGCGGCGGAUUCAAAAUCCGCUUUCUUCGGAAGUGAGGGUUCGAGUCCCUCCCUGGGUACCA
This 85-nucleotide transfer RNA is filed under the name Pelagicoccus albus. Its description in RNAcentral is "tRNA-Leu". It matches the Rfam family "tRNA". Rfam says of the family: Transfer RNA (tRNA) molecules are approximately 80 nucleotides in length. Lineage: Bacteria; Pseudomonadati; Verrucomicrobiota; Opitutia; Puniceicoccales; Pelagicoccaceae. The record is from RNAcentral.